This 101-nucleotide ribosomal RNA is filed under the name Bos taurus (domestic cattle). RNAcentral describes it as "partial 28S ribosomal RNA". It matches the Rfam family "Eukaryotic large subunit ribosomal RNA", at positions 942 to 1027 of the family's 3401-position model. The record is from RNAcentral. Lineage: Eukaryota; Metazoa; Chordata; Mammalia; Artiodactyla; Bovidae.
AUCUAGUAGCUGGUUCCCUCCGAAGUUUCCCUCAGGAUAGCUGGCGCUCUCGCAAACGCACAGACCCACGCAUUUUAUCCGGUAAAGCGAAUGAUUAGAGG